CCUCUGAGGGAACCAUAAAGAGUCCAAGUCCAACUCCCUCUGAGGAAAACAUAAAAAAACGAUUCCAACCGCCUCUGGGGGAACUAUAAAGUGUCCAAGUCCAACUCCCUCUGGGGGAACCACAAAGAAGCCAAGGCCAACUCCCUCUGGGGGAACCAUAAAGAGUCCAAGUCCAACUCCCUCUGGGGAACCAUAAAGAGUCCAAGUCCAACUCCCUCUGAGGAAAACAUACAGAGUCAGAGUCCAACUGCCUCUGGGGGAACCAUAAGAGACCGAUUGCAACUGCCUUUGGGGCACCAUAAAGAGACCGAUUCCAACUGCUUUUACGGGAACCAUAAAAAGACCAAUUGCAAAUGCCUUUGGGGGAACCAUAAAGAGACCGAUUCCACCUGCCUUUACGGGAACCAUAAAGAGACCGAUUGCAACUGCCUCUGGGAGAACCAUAAACAUCAUGACUUCAAUUUAUACUCUGUUCCCUGACACAGACUUUGACUCAAAACUGCUCCCUGGAGGGUUGCCUAAUUUUCUAAGCAACUGCUACAUUAAUGCAAGUCUGCAGUGUCUGUUUACCGCCGAGAGUUCUGCAGAGAGCUCUCCGACCUGCUGGACAAUUCUACACACACACUGGAGUACUCAUUCCUCAGAUGUUUUGUGGAGUUAUGGAGGUUGAGAAACAGCUCUGAAGUUCAAGGUGACCGCAAGAAGGGUUUGCUCCUCCAGGCCCUGAUGAAAUCAGCUGCACACUACAACCCAGAAUUCACCAUCGACAUCCAGAAUGAUGCCCAUGAAUUCCUCUGCUACUGUCUGACCCCAAAUGGAGGAGUCUGGGCGAAAACUGGGUUGGCAAGAGGAUGUGAACCCUAGAUGUCCAGUCACGUCCAAUUUCAAGUUCAAGAUGAGGAACAUUAUAACCUGCUCCAGCUGUGGAUCCCACAGAACAACAACGUGGAAGUGUUUAAUCACGUCUCUGUGCCCCUGAAGCACGACUCAGUGGACCGGUGCCUCUCUGACGUAGUUCAUAAGCGGACAUUGUUAGAGAGCAAGUGCAAGGUGUGUGGAGGAGACUCUGCCAGCUCCAGGUGGAUGUUCCACACUCUGCCCAGG
Molecule: long non-coding RNA, 1104 nt
Organism: Ictalurus punctatus (channel catfish)
Lineage: Eukaryota; Metazoa; Chordata; Actinopteri; Siluriformes; Ictaluridae
Source: Ensembl